RNAcentral lists this transfer RNA (74 nucleotides) under Pteropus alecto (black flying fox). It matches the Rfam family "tRNA". From Rfam's summary of the family: Transfer RNA (tRNA) molecules are approximately 80 nucleotides in length. Their secondary structure includes four short double-helical elements and three loops (D, anti-codon, and T loops). Lineage: Eukaryota; Metazoa; Chordata; Mammalia; Chiroptera; Pteropodidae. The record is from Rfam by way of RNAcentral.
GGCUCCAUAGUGUAAUGGUUAGCACGUCUGCUUUACAUGCAGAAGAUCCUGGAUUCGCGCCCCAGGUGGAGUCA